GACGAACGCUGGCGGCGUGCCUAAUACAUGCAAGUCGAACGCAGUGGGGACGGGUGAGUAAGACGUGGGUAACCUCCCAUCAGAGGGGAUAAAACUUGGAAACAGGUGCUAAACCGAUAUUGAAGGAUGGACCCGGGGGGCAUUAGCUAGUUGGUGGGGUAAAGGCUCACCAAGGCUACGAUCCAUAGCCGACCUGAGAGGGUGAUCGGCCACACUGGGACUGAGACACGGCCCAGACUCCGACGGGAGGCAGCAGUGGGGAAUCUUCGGCAAUGGACGAAAGCCUGACCGAGCAACGCCGCGUGAAUGAAGAAGGUUUUCGGAUCGUAAAACUCUGUUGUUAGAGAAGCGGUAUCUAACCAAAAAGCCACGGCUAACUACGUGCCAGCAGCCGCGGUAAUUC
Molecule: ribosomal RNA, 403 nt
Filed under: uncultured bacterium
Lineage: Bacteria
Description: partial 16S ribosomal RNA
Rfam family: Bacterial small subunit ribosomal RNA
Source: RNAcentral